This 460-nucleotide ribosomal RNA is filed under the name uncultured bacterium. RNAcentral's name for it is "partial 16S ribosomal RNA". It matches the Rfam family "Bacterial small subunit ribosomal RNA", at positions 338 to 795 of the family's 1533-position model. The record is from RNAcentral.
CCUACGGGAGGCAGCAGUGAGGAAUAUUGGUCAAUGGGCGCGAGCCUGAACCAGCCAAGUCGCGUGAGGGAGGACGGCCCUACGGGUUGUAAACCUCUUUUGCCGGGGAGCAACGGGCGCCACGUGUGGCGUCACUGAGAGUACCCGGAGAAAAAGCAUCGGCUAACUCCGUGCCAGCAGCCGCGGUAAUACGGAGGAUGCGAGCGUUAUCCGGAUUUAUUGGGUUAAAAGGGUGCGUAGGCGGAUAGUUAAGUCAGUGGUAAAAUUGAGGGGCUCAACCUCUUCCCGCCAUUGAAACUGGCGUUGUUGAGUGGAAGAGAGGUAUGCGGAAUGCGUGGUGUAGCGGUGAAAUGCUUAGAUAUUACGAAGAACUCCGAUGGCGAAGGCAGCUUACUAAGCUGCCACUGACAUUGAGGCUCGAAAGUGUGGGUAUCAAACAGGAUUAGAUACCCCUGUAGUC